AUGUAUGGUCAUGAAAUUAUCAUUUAUCCUUCAGCUGUCAUUAACCCUCUGACUCUCCUCUCCCCCUCUCUUUUUGUUUUUCUAUCUUUUUCUGCCCGCCCCCCUCUGUCUCCUACUCCCUCUCUUUCUGCCUGUCUCCUACUCCCUCUUUCUGCCUGUCUCCUACUCCCUCUUUCUGCCUGUCUCCUACUCCCUCUUUCUGCCUGUCUUCUACUCCCUCUCUUUCUGCCUGUCUCCUACUCCCUCUUUCUGCCUGUCUCCUACUCCCUCUUUCUGCCUGUCUUCUACUCCCUCUACUUCUGCCUGUCUCCUACUCCCUCUUUCUGCCUGUCUUCUACUCCCUCUCUUUCUGCCUGUCUCCUACUCCCUCUUUCUGCCUGUCUCAUACUCCCUCUUUCUGCCUGUCUUCUACUCCCUCUCUUUCUGCCUGUCUCCUACUCCCUCUUUCUGCCUGUCUCCUACUCCCUCUCUUUCUGCCUGUCUCCUACUCCCUCUUUCUGCCUGUCUCCUACUCCCUCUCUUUCUGCCUGUCUCCUACUCCCUCUUUCUGCCUGUCUUCUACUCCCUCUCUUUCUGCCUGUCUCCUACUCCCUCUCUUUCUGCCUGUCUCCUACUCCCUCUUUCUGCCUGUCUCCUACUCCCCCUCUUUCUACCUGUCUCCUACUCCCUCUCUUUCUGCCUGUCUCCUACUCCCUCUCUUUCUGCCUGUCUCCUACCUCUCCUUCUGCCUGUCUCCUACUCCCUCUUUCUGCCUGUCUUCUACUCCCUCUCUUUCUGCCUGUCUCCUACUCCCUCUCUUUCUGCCUGUCUCCUACUCCCUCUUUCUGCCUGUCUCCUACUCCCCCUCUUUCUACCUGUCUCCUACUCCCUUUCUUUCUGCCUGUCUCCUACUCCCUCUCUUUCUGCCUGUCUCCUACCUCUCCUUCUGCCUGUCUCCUACUCCCUCUCUUUCUGCCUGUCUCCUACCUCUCCUUCUGCCUGUCUCCUACUCCCUCUCUUUCUGCCUGUCUCCUCAUUAUCUCUCUCAAUUUAGUGGCUUUAUUGGUAUGGGAAACAUAUGUUAACAUUGCCAAACCAAGUGAACUAGAUAAUAAACAAAAGUGA
This 1104-nucleotide long non-coding RNA is filed under the name Oncorhynchus mykiss (rainbow trout). RNAcentral describes it as "lncRNA (ENSOMYG00000069742.1)". Lineage: Eukaryota; Metazoa; Chordata; Actinopteri; Salmoniformes; Salmonidae. The record is from RNAcentral.